UACGUAGGGAGCAAGCGUUGUCCGGAAUCAUUGGGCGUAAAGCGCGCGUAGGCGGCUUCGUAAGUCCGUUGUGAAAGUCAAAGGCUCAACCUUGGAAAGCCGAUGGAUACUGUGAAGCUAGAGUACGGAAGAGGCGAGUGGAAUUCCUGGUGUAGCGGUGGAAUGCGCAGAUAUCAGGAGGAACACCAAUUGCGAAGGCAGCUCGCUGGGACGUAACUGACGCUGAGGCGCGAAAGCGUGGGGAGCAAACAGG
RNAcentral lists this ribosomal RNA (253 nucleotides) under uncultured bacterium. Its description in RNAcentral is "partial 16S ribosomal RNA". It matches the Rfam family "Bacterial small subunit ribosomal RNA", at positions 524 to 776 of the family's 1533-position model. The record is from RNAcentral.